GCCAGGCGUGUUGGCACGCACCUGUAAUCCCAGCUACUCGGGAGGCUGAGGCAGAAGAAUCACUUGAACCUGGGAGGCAGAGGUUGCAGUGAGCGGAGAUCACGCCACUGUACUCCAGCCCGGGCAAUAGAGUGAGACUCUGUCUCAA
This is an unclassified non-coding RNA of Macaca fascicularis (crab-eating macaque), 148 nucleotides long. It matches the Rfam family "Metazoan signal recognition particle RNA". Rfam says of the family: The signal recognition particle (SRP) is a universally conserved ribonucleoprotein. The record is from Ensembl. NCBI's taxonomy places the organism in Eukaryota, Metazoa, Chordata, Mammalia, Primates, Cercopithecidae.